Exidia glandulosa HHB12029 is the source of this 86-nucleotide transfer RNA. It matches the Rfam family "tRNA". Rfam says of the family: Transfer RNA (tRNA) molecules are approximately 80 nucleotides in length. Their secondary structure includes four short double-helical elements and three loops (D, anti-codon, and T loops). Further hydrogen bonds mediate the characteristic L-shaped molecular structure. tRNAs have two regions of fundamental functional importance: the anti-codon, which is responsible for specific mRNA codon recognition, and the 3' end, to which the tRNAs corresponding amino acid is attached (by aminoacyl-tRNA synthetases). tRNAs cope with the degeneracy of the genetic code in two manners: having more than one tRNA (with a specific anti-codon) for a particular amino acid; and 'wobble' base-pairing, i.e. permitting non-standard base-pairing at the 3rd anti-codon position. The record is from Rfam. Lineage: Eukaryota; Fungi; Basidiomycota; Agaricomycetes; Auriculariales; Exidiaceae.
GGAUCAGUGGCGCAGUGGUAGCGCAUGCGAUUGCAGCUUUUCAAGUAGUUAUCGCACGGUCACGUGUUCGAUCCACGUCUGGUCCU